Molecule: ribosomal RNA, 468 nt
Filed under: uncultured bacterium
Lineage: Bacteria
Description: partial 16S ribosomal RNA
Rfam family: Bacterial small subunit ribosomal RNA
Source: RNAcentral
GAUGAACGCUGGCGGCGUGCCUAACACAUGCAAGUCGAGCGAUUCUCUUCGGAGAAGAGCGGCGGACGGGUGAGUAACGCGUGGGUAACCUGCCCUGUACACACGGAUAACAUACCGAAAGGCAUGCUAAUACGAGAUAAUAUGCUUCUAUCGCAUGGUAGAAGUAUCAAAGCUCUGGCGGUACAGGAUGGACCCGCGUCUGAUUAGCUAGUUGGUAAGGUAACGGCUUACCAAGGCGACGAUCAGUAGCCGACCUGAGAGGGUGAUCGGCCACAUUGGAACUGAGACACGGUCCAAACUCCUACGGGAGGCAGCAGUGGGGAAUAUUGCACAAUGGGCGAAAGCCUGAUGCAGCAACGCCGCGUGAGCGAUGAAGGCCUUCGGGUCGUAAAGCUCUGUCCUCAAGGAAGAUAAUGACGGUACUUGAGGAGGAAGCCCCGGCUAACUACGUGCCAGUCGCCGCAGUAA